ACGCUGGCGGCGUGCCUAAUACAUGCAAGUAGAACGCUGAAGGAGGAGCUUGCUUCUCUGGAUGAGUUGCGAACGGGUGAGUAACGCGUAGGUAACCUGCCUGGUAGCGGGGGAUAACUAUUGGAAACGAUAGCUAAUACCGCAUAAGAGUAGAUGUUGCAUGACAUUUGCUUAAAAGGUGCAAUUGCAUCACUACCAGAUGGACCUGCGUUGUAUUAGCUAGUUGGUGGGGUAACGGCUCACCAAGGCGACGAUACAUAGCCGACCUGAGAGGGUGAUCGGCCACACUGGGACUGAGACACGGCCCAGACUCCUACGGGAGGCAGCAGUAGGGAAUCUUCGGCAAUGGACGGAAGUCUGACCGAGCAACGCCGCGUGAGUGAAGAAGGUUUUCGGAUCGUAAAGCUCUGUUGUAAGAGAAGAACGAGUGUGAGAGUGGAAAGUUCACACUGUGACGGUAUCUUACCAGAAAGGGACGGCUAACUACGUGCCAGCAGCCGCGGUAAUACGUAGGUCCCGAGCGUUGUCCGGAUUUAUUGGGCGUAAAGCGAGCGCAGGCGGUUAGGUAAGUCUGAAGUUAAAGGCUGUGGCUUAACCAUAGUACGCUUUGGAAACUGUUUAACUUGAGUGCAAGAGGGGAGAGUGGAAUUCCAUGUGUAGCGGUGAAAUGCGUAGAUAUAUGGAGGAACACCGGUGGCGAAAGCGGCUCUCUGGCUUGUAACUGACGCUGAGGCUCGAAAGCGUGGGGAGCAACCAGGAUUAGAUACCCUGGUAGUCCACGCCGUAAACGAUGAGUGCUAGGCGUUAGACCCUUUCCGGGGUUUAGUGCCGUAGCUAACGCAUUAAGCACUCCGCCUGGGGAGUACGACCGCAAGGUUGAAACUCAAAGGAAUUGACGGGGGCCCCGC
RNAcentral lists this ribosomal RNA (908 nucleotides) under uncultured bacterium. Its description in RNAcentral is "bacterial SSU rRNA". It matches the Rfam family "Bacterial small subunit ribosomal RNA", at positions 33 to 925 of the family's 1533-position model. The record is from RNAcentral.